GCGCCCAUAGCUCAGUUGGUUAGAGCACAGGCCUUAUAAGCCUGGGGUCGAUGGUUCAAGUCCAUCUGGGCGCACAA
Molecule: transfer RNA, 77 nt
Filed under: Candidatus Falkowbacteria bacterium RIFOXYA2_FULL_47_19
Lineage: Bacteria; Candidatus Falkowiibacteriota
Also listed under: 2 other names
Description: tRNA-Ile
Rfam family: tRNA
About the family: Transfer RNA (tRNA) molecules are approximately 80 nucleotides in length. Their secondary structure includes four short double-helical elements and three loops (D, anti-codon, and T loops).
Source: RNAcentral